RNAcentral lists this long non-coding RNA (250 nucleotides) under Phoenix dactylifera (date palm). RNAcentral describes it as "long non-coding RNA (PDAC_LNC011409)". The record is from RNAcentral. Lineage: Eukaryota; Viridiplantae; Streptophyta; Magnoliopsida; Arecales; Arecaceae.
CAGUUUAAUAUAAUUCUUGAAUGAAAAUAUUAAAAAAAUACUUAAAAAAAAAGGGCCCAUGAAACUGUUCUUGGCAAUACUGUUUACCAUGUGAAGCAAGAGCAGAAUAGGAAAAGGUCAUCCCAUGGCGCUUCAGGGUCAAAGAAUUUGUCCAAAAAGGGACCUCUCUAUAAGAGAAAGUAGGGUCAUUAUGGAAAAUUCACUCCAUCUAAUUAAUAAAAGUCUCAUCCCACCAUCUUCCCUUCAAGUG